This is a non-coding RNA of Pelobates cultripes (western spadefoot toad), 225 nucleotides long. NCBI's taxonomy places the organism in Eukaryota, Metazoa, Chordata, Amphibia, Anura, Pelobatidae. The record is from the annotation of a GenBank genome assembly.
GAAUUUUGAAUAUGUUUGUCCCCAAGUUGUGUUGUUCAUAAAAAUAUAGUUUUAUUCAUGUAGGAUGAAAAAUCAUAAAGUUAUAAAAAUGCAUAAAAAAGUAUAAGUUUUAGCUUGGAGAUAAUUGAGUAGAUACAGUAAGAAACUCAAUUAUCUCCCAAGCAGAGGGGAGGGAAUCUGUGGGUUGUAACCAUUGUCUGAUUGGUUAAUGUCUAAUUGCCUCUG